Molecule: ribosomal RNA, 253 nt
Filed under: uncultured bacterium
Lineage: Bacteria
Description: partial 16S ribosomal RNA
Rfam family: Bacterial small subunit ribosomal RNA
Source: RNAcentral
UACAUGGGGUGCAAACGUUGCUCGGAAUUAUUGGGCGUAAAGCGCACGUAGGCGGUCCGUUAAGUCAGAUGUGAAAGCCCCCGGCUCAACCGGGGAACUGCGUCUGAUACUGGCAGGCUUGAAUCCGGGAGAGGGAUGUGGAAUUCCAGGUGUAGCGGUGAAAUGCGUAGAUAUCUGGAGGAACACCGGUGGCGAAGGCGGCAUCCUGGACCGGUAUUGACGCUGAGGCGCGAAAGCCAGGGGAGCAAACGGG